This 74-nucleotide transfer RNA is filed under the name Rhodospirillaceae bacterium. RNAcentral's name for it is "tRNA-Gly". It matches the Rfam family "tRNA". Rfam says of the family: Transfer RNA (tRNA) molecules are approximately 80 nucleotides in length. Their secondary structure includes four short double-helical elements and three loops (D, anti-codon, and T loops). Further hydrogen bonds mediate the characteristic L-shaped molecular structure. tRNAs have two regions of fundamental functional importance: the anti-codon, which is responsible for specific mRNA codon recognition, and the 3' end, to which the tRNAs corresponding amino acid is attached (by aminoacyl-tRNA synthetases). tRNAs cope with the degeneracy of the genetic code in two manners: having more than one tRNA (with a specific anti-codon) for a particular amino acid; and 'wobble' base-pairing, i.e. permitting non-standard base-pairing at the 3rd anti-codon position. RNAcentral also lists the same sequence under 3 other names. Lineage: Bacteria; Pseudomonadati; Pseudomonadota; Alphaproteobacteria; Rhodospirillales; Rhodospirillaceae. The record is from RNAcentral.
GCGGGUGUAGUUCAAUGGUAGAACAUCAGCUUCCCAAGCUGAAUACGAGGGUUCGAUUCCCUCCAUCCGCUCCA